Molecule: transfer RNA, 91 nt
Organism: Vigna angularis (adzuki bean)
Lineage: Eukaryota; Viridiplantae; Streptophyta; Magnoliopsida; Fabales; Fabaceae
Rfam family: tRNA
About the family: Transfer RNA (tRNA) molecules are approximately 80 nucleotides in length. Their secondary structure includes four short double-helical elements and three loops (D, anti-codon, and T loops).
Source: Rfam
CCGACCUUAGCUCAGUUGGUAGAGCGGAGGAUUGUAGUGGGUUAUUCCAGCUGAAAUCCUUAGGUCGCUGGUUCGAAUCCGGCAGGUCGGA